RNAcentral lists this long non-coding RNA (3060 nucleotides) under Equus caballus (horse). RNAcentral's name for it is "lncRNA (ENSECAG00000060180.1)". The record is from RNAcentral. Lineage: Eukaryota; Metazoa; Chordata; Mammalia; Perissodactyla; Equidae.
GUGAGCUGACGAGUGAUGGAGGCUUGGGCUGAGCCAACCAGAAUUCGUGAUUCCUUUGCCUCCCAGGGCCGGUGGUGUGCAGACAGGGCCGGGGCUGGUGGGGUUUGGGAGGGGUCAGAGAUUGAGGCGCUGGUCGCUGUGCCCCGUUCUGGCCUGGAGCAAGAUGUAUUGCAGGCGGGAGUGAUGAAUUCCGCUUUUAAGGUCCCCAGAAGUUGAGAAGCUCUGGAUUGGAGUGCAUCUGAUAGAAGUUGUCACAAAAAAAAUAGUUCUUUCUCCUGUGGAGCACAACAGUCUGAUGCCGGAAGAAAACGAAGAAGUAGAUAAGUCAAAAUAAACAGGUAAAAGAAUAUUUACAAGUAUUUUACUUAACCCCAUCUAUUGAAAAUAUUAUCAUUUAAGUAUAUAAGCAGAAUAAAAAUUAUUAAUGAGAUGUUUUACUUGUUUUCAUAGGAAGCCUUUGAAAUCUGGUGUGUAUUUUACACUUGGAGCAUUCAGACAUUUCAAAUGAUCAAUAACCAUGGGGCUAGUGGCUGCCAUAAUGACCAGAGCAGUGCUAGGUGAUAGAUGAUGGUGGAUUGCUCAGGGGAGCAAUGGAGAGAUUUGAGGUGUUGUUUUGUAGGUAAUGCUGACAGGUCUAGAUGAAGGUUUGGCUGAAAGGGUGAUGGAACGGAAGAGGAAUCAAGGAAAACUUUGAGACUUUUGACUUGAGCACACUGGUCUGUUUGUGGUCCAUGUACUUGGGUCAAAUUUUCAAAAUGACUUUGCUUUAGAUUCUCCAGACUUUUACUUGCCUGAUUUCUUCCCAUUUCUCAGGUUUCUCUUCAAAUGUCACCUCUUUGGGUAGACCUUCCGUAACUACACAAUGUAGAGUAGCCCCCACCCCAAGAAUGCUCUGUUGCAUUACUGUUUUAUUUUUUAUACACUCGUCACUACCUGAAAUUAUUGUUUGAUUAUUUGUUUAUUGUCUGUUUACCCCACUAGAAUGUAAGCUCUUGGUCUUUCGUGUUCAUUGUCAUACUUGGUACCUAGAUCAAUGCCUAGUACAAAACAAAUGCUGAAUAUGUAUCUCUUGAAUGACUGAAAGGAAUUUAGAUAAACAAAUUAUAACCUUUACCACAAACUAUUUAUAAAGAUCAAAAUAGAGUAUCAGAAAUUCCAAAGGUCGAAAGAGAAUAAAGAAGAUACCUGUGUUGCAGAAAAAGCAAAUUCUUACAACUUGCAUCAUGCUGUUUCGUCCUAAAAUUAGCAUUAAAGGAAUAAUUCUAGACCACCUACUAUGUGCAAGGCACCUUGCAAAGAAUAAAAGGUGACUUCUUCCUCAUCAUUUGUAUAUGUAAACCAGCCAAAAUGUUAAAGAUUAGCCUUUGCUUUGAAAAACUGGCUUACAAAAGUGCAGGUACAGAAUUAUUUAGGAUACAUUUCCAUGUCUGGUCUAUUCUCUAACGUCUUUUUUUCUGGUUUAUGUUUAGGUAAUGAGUUUCACAGUUCUUACCACACUUCCGUGGUUAACGUGAUGACUUUGAGUUAGAGCAUAAUUUUCCAAAAUAACUUUUUCCCAUUUGAAGUAAGGGCAGCUGCUAGUUUCCUACCAGGGGUUACAAUAUUGUAUCUUUUUACGCAGUGGGGGAAAUAUUCUUUGUCAGAGAUUAAUCAGUUCCUAUAUAGGUGUGGGUGCUGGAGAUAGAAUUUACCACUCACUGUCUGUGACCCCAAUGUAAUCCUGAACAGACUUCUGUCUUAACAUCAAUAGCACACUAUUGCACUGUGUUCUCUACUGACUGAGGACAGGGACAGUGUUUUGUUCAUUUGGAUCUUAGCAGCAUUCAGCACAUUGCAUAAAACAUUUUGGCAACUCAUAAAUCGUAUGCAAAUGAACGAUUGAAUGGACUAUAACUUUGCUUCUAAAAAUCCUGUUUCUAACACACAGAAAACAUGAAAACAAGGGAAAAGAAUGGGGAUUUUCUCAACGUCAGUGAGAGAGAGAUAUAAAUAUUUCUCUAUGGGUGGCCUUAUCCCAAAAGAAACUUCCAGCUUAAAAAGAGUAGGUCUAUAAUAGGCAAGGUCAGUGUCAAUCUGUGGGCUUGAACUUUGGAAGAGCCAGGAAGGAUUUGAAAAAUCACCCCUUCUAUCAACUGACUGCUGCCUGAAAUUUUACACUUAGGGUUUUAGUCUUUUGAUGUAAAAGCUUUUUUUCCAAUUACAGUGUGAGUGGGAGAUAUGCAGUUAAGUUGCAUCAUGGUCCUAGCAACUUUGAGGCAUUCAGCUAGGCUUACCUGGGAGGAAAAGAAAACAAGGAAAAUAAAAUAGAAGAAAAUACGUUAAGCCGGGGCAUAAAUCAUGGCAUGAGUGUGUGCUUAGAGUGAGCAUGAGGAGGCUAUGGGGAUCCAUUGUAUUUUGUAUAUUUUUUUAAUGAUAAGGUUAAUCUCUUCCUAUGGUAUAACAUAAACAAUACCAUCCUUCACAAUUACUAGAUUCUUAAAUUGAUUCAACUACUCUCUUAUUUUCAAGUGAUUAUAAGACUUUUUCAAACUUUGGAGCUGCAUCCCUCAUCUGAUUCCAUCAAUUUCUCUUCUGCUUCUUGUCUUAUUGUGUUCAACCAUGGUUUGGGGCACAUUGGGGAAAACAGAGCAGUCACAGUGGAAGGCUCAUCCAUUGUUCCUCUCAGCAGCCAGCCAGUUAUUUUGUCAAGGAAAGUUAUUCAUCCUACUCUCCAGGGUUAUCUCCUCAAAACUCAGCUUCCUGCUUUUACAGAACAGUAUAUCCUCUUUUAUUAUUAUCCUAAUUAAUGCUUCUCACACAGCUUCACAAAAUAUUAGCACUUAAUAAAUAAUUAACCACAUUCAAAUGGCUGCACUAGUUGAAAAAGAGAAAUCUUGUUUACCUAGUCAAAGUGCUACCUCUGUGCGAUAGUCCUGAUGACAAAAUUGAUUCCAGUCUAUAUUUGAAUGAGAGAAGCCAAGGGAGACAUUUCAGGGAUACGAAGCCUUCUUAUUUUCCUUGUUGUGCCAGGUAGUUGAACAUUGUUAGACUAUCCCAUAAUGCAAGUUGCCUUGACUCCAC